GCAAGCGUUGUCCGGAUUUAUUGGGUUUAAAGGGUGCGUAGGUGGCCUUAUAAGUCAGUGGUGAAAUGCUGCAGCUUAACUGUAGCACUGCCAUUGAUACUGUAGGGCUUGAGUGUCGUUGAGGCAGGCGGAAUUUAUGGUGUAGCGGUGAAAUGCAUAGAUACCAUAAAGAACACCGAUAGCGUAGGCAGCUUACUAAGCGAUAACUGACACUGAGGCACGAAAGCAUGGGGAGCGAACAGGAUUAGAUACCCUGGUAGUCC
This 263-nucleotide ribosomal RNA is filed under the name Fragilariopsis kerguelensis. RNAcentral describes it as "partial Bacterial small subunit ribosomal RNA". It matches the Rfam family "Bacterial small subunit ribosomal RNA", at positions 534 to 796 of the family's 1533-position model. The record is from RNAcentral. Lineage: Eukaryota; Bacillariophyta; Bacillariophyceae; Bacillariales; Bacillariaceae.